GCAAACACUGCGUAGAGGAUGCCUUGAUCACAGGAUCUACCACGCCAGACAUGAAUGCCGACUCCUUUUUUCAAAGGAAUUGUGAAUUUUCUCUUAGGCUGUACAAGUUUUGAGGUCAUAAAAUAUUGGAGCUGGAAGGGAGCUGAGAGAUCGUCUAAUACAGCUGAGAGAUCGUCUAAUACAGCCUUUCGUCUUACAAAUGUAGGAACGUGAGUCUCAGAGAAACCAAGUAGCGUGCCCAAGGACAUGCAUCUAACCAGAGAUGACAGUAGGAAGAGCCUAUGGUGAUUUCUGACCUUGACUCCCCUUCAGCAAUUUGGACUGGGCUCUUACCAUCUGGGAAAUAUCAAUUUCAUUUGGAAACCAGGAGCAUCUUCUACCUCAUCUAGAACUGGUUACUUCUCCAGCCAGCAGCACGUCAAAGAGAAACAGGAAACAAAAAUAUCAUCCAUUGAAAAAAUAGCCAUUUUCAUGCCUAAGGUCUUUGGCGAUCAGAUUAAUCUUUGGUGGCCUGUGCCACCCAACCUGACCUCUUGAGCUCGUCAGAGGAGGCGAAAACUAGACCUGCACUGCUCUGUGUGAGUAUUGUGGCCCUGGUCAAGUGAUACUGGCGCUAAAUAUUAGAGCUGGAAAGCCUUUCUGAGCUCACAUAGUUUGCUAUUACAGACAUGAAACCCAGUUUUAGAGAAAUGAACUAUGUUCCAUCAUUACAUUGUGGUGGUGCCUGCCUUCUCUCUCUGUUCUCAGCUUCCUCACCUAUAAAAUAAGAGGUUGAACAAGAUGACUUCCAAUAUCCCGUCCACCUCUGACAUUCAGUGCUCUGAAAGUCCCUUAGAGCCUUGAUGUUCAACACAUGAGGGGUCAAGCAGCCUUGUGGCAUUAUCUGAGAGACAGACUGGCAGACUCUGGGGUCCCACCCCGGACCUACUGAACAAGAAUCUGCAUUUGAACAAAAUCCCUGGGUGAUUCAUACAUAUGCCACAGUCGGCUUUAGAAAUCUAGUUGAUUUGGGUCCUUAGACAUUUUGUGUUCCUUGCCUAAGGCUUUCAGUUCUCAUUCCUUCAUUAGCCUGCAGAUGUCCUCAGAGAGCCAACAGUGAUCUUAAUGAAGAGGGGAGAACUACAGAAAGCAUUUUCCCCCAUUUGCGUGCUAUCUAUUCUACCCGCCUGCCCUUCAAGUUUCAUUAAGCUCUUUGGCCAGUUACCCAGUAAAGCUACAGAGAAAUGGGCUCCAAAGAGUAUUUUGAAGGUGACCACAUUACAGAUAUCUCAGUGUCUGCCCUUUCAGAAAAGAACUGGACCCUAGGGGUCCUCUCAUCUUAGGAGCAGUGAUGGUGGAGUGAUUUAAAAAACCCCCAAUCCUGUGUUUCCUUGACAAGUCAGCUAAGUCUGUGGUUGAUGUCACCACUCUAAC
This 1413-nucleotide long non-coding RNA is filed under the name Equus caballus (horse). RNAcentral's name for it is "lncRNA (ENSECAG00000058888.1)". The record is from RNAcentral. Lineage: Eukaryota; Metazoa; Chordata; Mammalia; Perissodactyla; Equidae.